This 745-nucleotide ribosomal RNA is filed under the name uncultured Pseudomonadota bacterium. Its description in RNAcentral is "bacterial SSU rRNA". It matches the Rfam family "Bacterial small subunit ribosomal RNA", at positions 8 to 747 of the family's 1533-position model. The record is from RNAcentral. Lineage: Bacteria; Pseudomonadati; Pseudomonadota.
AGGGUUUGAUCCUGGCUCAGAUUGAACGCUGGCGGCAUGCCUUACACAUGCAAGUCGAACGGCAGCACGGGGGCAACCCUGGUGGCGAGUGGCGAACGGGUGAGUAAUACAUCGGAACGUGUCUUGUAGUGGGGGAUAGCCCGGCGAAAGCCGGAUUAAUACCGCAUACGCUCUACGGAGGAAAGGGGGGGAUCUUAGGACCUCCCGCUACAGGGGCGGCCGAUGGCAGAUUAGCUAGUUGGUGGGGUAAAGGCCUACCAAGGCGACGAUCUGUAGCUGGUCUGAGAGGACGACCAGCCACACUGGGACUGAGACACGGCCCAGACUCCUACGGGAGGCAGCAGUGGGGAAUUUUGGACAAUGGGGGCAACCCUGAUCCAGCAAUGCCGCGUGUGUGAAGAAGGCCUUCGGGUUGUAAAGCACUUUUGUCCGGAAAGAAAACGCCGUGGUUAAUACCCGUGGCGGAUGACGGUACCGGAAGAAUAAGCACCGGCUAACUACGUGCCAGCAGCCGCGGUAAUACGUAGGGUGCAAGCGUUAAUCGGAAUUACUGGGCGUAAAGCGUGCGCAGGCGGUCCGCUAAGACAGAUGUGAAAUCCCCGGGCUUAACCUGGGAACUGCAUUUGUGACUGGCGGGCUAGAGUAUGGCAGAAGGGGGUAGAAUUCCACGUGUAGCAGUGAAAUGCGUAGAGAUGUGGAGGAAUACCCGAUGGCGAAGGCAGCCCCCUGGGCCAAUACUGACGCU